GACGAACGCUGGCGGCGUGCUUAACACAUGCAAGUCGAACGGAAAGGCCCUGCUUGCAGGGUACUCGAGUGGCGAACGGGUGAGUAACACGUGGGUGAUCUGCCCUGCACUUCGGGAUAAGCUUGGGAAACUGGGUCUAAUACCGGAUAGGAGCCAUCUUUAGUGUGGUGGUUGGAAAGUUUUUUCGGUGUAGGAUGAGCUCGCGGCCUAUCAGCUUGUUGGUGGGGUAAUGGCCUACCAAGGCGGCGACGGGUAGCCGGCCUGAGAGGGUGUACGGCCACAUUGGGAUUGGGAAACGGCCCAGACUCCAACGGGAGGCAGCAGUGGGGAAUAUUGAAAAAUGGGCGCAAGCCUGAUGCAGCGACGCCGCGUGGGGAUGAAGGCCUUCGGGUUGUAAACUCCUUUCGCUAGGGACGAAGCUUUGUUGUGACGGUACCUAGAUAAGAAGCACCGGCUAACUACGUG
RNAcentral lists this ribosomal RNA (465 nucleotides) under uncultured bacterium. RNAcentral's name for it is "partial 16S ribosomal RNA". It matches the Rfam family "Bacterial small subunit ribosomal RNA", at positions 28 to 507 of the family's 1533-position model. The record is from RNAcentral.